This 494-nucleotide ribosomal RNA is filed under the name uncultured bacterium. RNAcentral's name for it is "partial 16S ribosomal RNA". It matches the Rfam family "Bacterial small subunit ribosomal RNA", at positions 28 to 507 of the family's 1533-position model. The record is from RNAcentral.
GACGAACGCUGGCGGCGUGCUUAACACAUGCAAGUCGAACGGUGAAGCGCCUUCCUUUUUGGUGGGUGUGGAUGAGUGGCGAACGGGUGAGUAACACGUGAGUAACCUGCCCCCUUCUUCUGGAUAACCGCAUGAAAGUGUGGCUAAUACGGGAUAUUCUGGGUCUGUCGCAUGAUGGGUCUGGGAAAGAUAUUGUUUCGGUGGGGGAUGGGCUCGCGGCCUAUCAGCUUGUUGGUGGGGUGAUGGCCUACCAAGGCGGUGACGGGUAGCCGGCCUGAGAGGGUGGCCGGUCACACUGGGACUGAGACACGGCCCAGACUCCUACGGGAGGCAGCAGUGGGGAAUAUUGCACAAUGGGCGCAAGCCUGAUGCAGCGACGCCGCGUGAGGGAUGGAGGCCUGCGGGUUGUGAACCUCUUUCGCCAGUGAAGCAGGCCUGCCUCGUUUGUGGGUGGGUUGACGGUAGCUGGAUAAGAAGCGCCGGCUAACUACGUG